UUUUUUUUUUUUUUUUUUUUUUUUUUUUUGUUU
This 33-nucleotide non-coding RNA is filed under the name Alexandrium minutum. Lineage: Eukaryota; Dinophyceae; Gonyaulacales; Pyrocystaceae. The record is from RNAcentral.